Molecule: ribosomal RNA, 254 nt
Filed under: uncultured bacterium
Lineage: Bacteria
Description: partial 16S ribosomal RNA
Rfam family: Bacterial small subunit ribosomal RNA
Source: RNAcentral
UACGUAGGGGGCUAGCGUUGUCCGGAUUUAUUGGGCGUAAAGAGCUCGUAGGUGGUUCGGUAAGUCGGGUGUUAAACCCCCAGGCUCAACCUGGGGACGCCACUCGAUACUGCUGUGACUAGAGUCCGGUAGGGGAGCGUGGAAUUCCUGGUGUAGCGGUGAAAUGCGCAGAUAUCAGGAGGAACACCAGCGGCGAAGGCGGCGCUCUGGGCCGGUACUGACACUGAGGAGCGAAAGCGUGGGUAGCAAACAGG